CAGAUGGCACAGUGGUUAAAGUGCUUGGCUGAUAACCAAAAGGUCGGCGGUUUGAAUCCACCGUCUG
This 67-nucleotide transfer RNA is filed under the name Loxodonta africana (African savanna elephant). It matches the Rfam family "tRNA". From Rfam's summary of the family: Transfer RNA (tRNA) molecules are approximately 80 nucleotides in length. The record is from Rfam by way of RNAcentral. Lineage: Eukaryota; Metazoa; Chordata; Mammalia; Proboscidea; Elephantidae.